Molecule: ribosomal RNA, 457 nt
Filed under: uncultured bacterium
Lineage: Bacteria
Description: bacterial SSU rRNA
Rfam family: Bacterial small subunit ribosomal RNA
Source: RNAcentral
UACGGGAGGCAGCAGUGGGGAAUAUUGCACAAUGGGCGCAAGCCUGAUGCAGCCAUGCCGCGUGUAUGAAAAAGGCCUUCGGGUUGUAAAGUACUUUCAGUCGUGAGGAAGGUGUUAAGGUUAAUAACCUUAGCAAUUGACGUUAGCGACAGAAGAAGCACCGGCUAACUCCGUGCCAGCAGCCGCGGUAAUACGGAGGGUGCGAGCGUUAAUCGGAAUUACUGGGCGUAAAGGGCACGCAGGCGGUUAAUUAAGUUUGGAUGUGAAAUCCCCGGGCUUAACCUGGGAAUGGCAUUCAAGACUGGUUAGCUAGAGUCUGUAGAGGGGGUUAGAAUUCCAUGUGUAGCGGUGAAAUGCGUAGAGAUGUGGAGGAAUACCGGUGGCGAAGGCGGCCCCGUGGACAAAGACUGACGCUCAUGUGCGAAAGCUGGGGAGCAAACAGGGAUUAGAUACCCGU